AGACGAGUGCGCGCUCUCCACAGACUGGUUGAGCGAGCGGGAGAGGCCCGGGGCACGUGCAGACGGGAGCCCCGCGAGUGGCGCGCCGGGGAUGUGAGUGCCCCUUGCCCUCUACAACACCUAGACCCCUCCCCGCCCACUGCCUCCAAUUUGGCAUAUUUAUAGUAAUCUGACCGGGCCCGCGCCCCUCCUCCUGUUCUCAGCCUGCAAGAGGCCGUGCUGGGCCCUGGUUUGCCUGAUUACAUCGGCCGCGGUUCCGGCUGAUCGCCUAGGGAGGCCCGACGCGCCCCAGAGCCUGCGCGCCUGCGGCGGUAGCGGAAGAGGCGCCCGCGUAGCGCCACGGCCCAGAGGGGCCGCCGCGCGGCCGCUUCCUGUUCGGCUGGUUCCAACCAGCUUGAGGACAAAACACGCGUGCGCGCGGCGACGAACGGGCAGACGCGCUCGCCGCCUCGGUCGCUGGCUCCCCGCGCAGUCCGCCGUUUUCCGGCCUCGGUGCUAAUCGGUAGCAGCACUCGUCGCAGCAUCUCCGCACUAGGGGACCGUGGGCUUUGGAAGGAGGCGGGGUUGACGGCUCUUUGCUAGAGUGGGCUGAACCGGACGGCAGAGACAAAGGCUUUCAAGGCAAGGGGGUCUGUGGCCCUGUGACGGCGCUGCUCGGGAUUUUUGACCCCAGGACUUUUCGCCCCUUCGUUUUUCUCUUCUAACGCUUCUCUCAUCCUAAGCCCGCGACCUCGCUCCUCACCGGGAGGGCCGCGAUGGAGGUUCCUCCCCGGCUUUCCCAUGUGCCGCCGCCAUUGUUUCCCUCCGCUCCCGCUACUUUAGCCUCCCGCAGCCUCUCCCAUUGGCGGCCGCGGGCACCGAGGCAGCUCGCCCCGCUCCUCCCGUCGCUUGCUUCCACCUCCGCCCGGCAGGGGGCGCGACGGCCCCAGCGCCACGUCACCGCCCAGCAGCCCUCCCGAUUGGCAGGCGGGGCGGCUAUAAAGGGAGGGCGCAGGCGGCGCCCGGAUCUCUUCCGCCGCCAUUUUAAAUCUAGCUCCAUACAACGCUCCGCCGUCGCUACCGCCACGACUCGAACUGCGCGCCAGCACCCCACAGCCGACAACUCCGCAACCAUGGAGGACAUGAAUGAGUACAGCAACAUAGAGGAAUUCGCAGAGGGAUCCAAGAUUAACGCGAGCAAGAAUCAACAGGAUGACGGUAAAAUGUUUAUUGGAGGCUUGAGUUGGGAUACAAGCAAGAAGGAUCUGACUGAAUAUUUGUCUCGAUUUGGGGAAGUUGUAGACUGUACAAUUAAAACAGAUCCAGUCACUGGAAGAUCAAGAGGAUUUGGAUUUGUGCUUUUCAAAGACGCUGCUAGUGUUGAUAAGGUUUUGGAACUGAAAGAACACAAAUUGGAUGGCAAAUUGAUAGAUCCCAAAAGGGCCAAAGCUUUAAAAGGAAAGGAACCGCCAAAAAAGGUUUUUGUGGGUGGACUGAGCCCGGAUACCUCUGAAGAACAAAUUAAAGAAUAUUUUGGAGCUUUCGGAGAGAUUGAAAAUAUUGAACUUCCCAUGGAUACAAAAACAAAUGAAAGAAGAGGAUUCUGUUUUAUCACAUACACAGAUGAAGAGCCAGUAAAGAAAUUGUUAGAAAGCAGAUACCAUCAAAUUGGUUCUGGGAAGUGUGAAAUCAAAGUUGCACAACCCAAGGAGGUAUACAGGCAGCAACAGCAACAACAGAAAGGAGGAAGAGGUGCUGCAGCUGGAGGAAGAGGUGGGACUAGGGGUCGAGGCCGAGGUCAGGGCCAAAACUGGAACCAAGGAUUUAAUAACUAUUAUGAUCAAGGAUAUGGAAAUUACAAUAGUGCCUAUGGUGGUGAUCAAAACUAUAGUGGCUAUGGCGGCUAUGAUUAUACUGGGUAUAACUAUGGGAACUAUGGAUAUGGACAGGGAUAUGCAGACUACAGUGGCCAACAGAGCACUUAUGGCAAGGCAUCUCGAGGGGGUGGCAAUCACCAAAACAAUUACCAGCCAUACUGAAGGAGGACAUUGGCAUAAACAGCGGGAACUUCAUUGCAGGCCGUGUGUCACCCUGACCACGUCUAUCUCUGGGGGUCGCACGUUGCGGGCAGAGCGCAAGGCAUACACCAGAAAACGCUGUCCUGUGGGGGAGAUUGCUAAAGUAACCCAUCUUGCAGGACGAUAUUGAAGAUUGGUCUUCUGUUGAUCUAAGAUGAUUAUUUUGUAAAAGACUUUCUAGUGUACAAGACACAAGUGUGUCCAACUGUAUAUAGCUGCCAGUUAGUUUUGUUUUUACUUUGUCUUUUGCUAUCUGUGUUAUGACUGGAUGUGGAUUUGUGUUUAUACAAAUUUUUUUUGUAUGAUUUCAUGUUAAAACCUCAAAUAAAUGCUUCCUUUGUGAUUGUUUUUCUGCGUCGGGUACUAAAUAGCUCUGUAAAAUAAUUUAAAUAAGCAAUAAUUAAGGCCCAGUUCAUUUUGUAGAGAGUAUCGUCUAUAGGAAAAAACUGUGGUCCUUUAUGAAUAGCCAGCUACAGUGUCACCCUGUUCCCUAUUUUUGUUAGAUGCAUUCUGUGUUCUAAGUCCUCAUUUUUCCUGUUGGUUAACCGAGAUUUCCACCACACCUUUAAAUGUUUCCUUUAUCUGGAGAUGCUAUCGUGCUGUCCUUAGUGAAAGCUUUGUGUAGUAGACCUUGAGUUCUCUGGAUUAUAGUUUGGAGAUAAUGUACCUUUUAAAGCAUGUUGGUAGCUUUGAUGAGUAGAAAAGAUUUUGCUUUGUUCCUGUCUGGAAAGCCAUUUGCUAAAUGCAUCUAAUUUAAUAGUCUGCUAGGAGGAGCUUUGGCUACCCAUGAUGUCAUGACUUUAAAUGUUCUCUUGAUGAUGACCAGAUACCCAGGGAAGAAGGACUGUCAAACUGAUAGUAGCUACAUCAAAAGUGAUUACAUUAUAACACAAGGACUUCACAGGUUUGAAAUUAUACUAAAGUUGGAACAAAAGUUCUGGUGAAGUCUAAUUUACUUGUACUGUUAUGUUACAGCAAGCACCAAACAAUAAAUUACUUUCUUUCUUUGGGGGCAUACUUAGAAAGUUCUAUUGAGUGUUAACUAUGAUGUGUGAGUUUUUAGAAAAAGUCAUGGUAGUCUCAAUAUAAUGCAUUAAUUAGUGCAUGAGCCAAGUAGGUAAGCAUACUCACAUUCAGACGCAGGAAGACCUAGUAGGAAAGGUACAGUUCAGUCUUAAGUAUGUAAAUGCAAAUCUUAAGUGACCAGAUCCUGUCAUGGCAGAUCUUCAUGGUGCAUUAAAAAGCAGUUUUAACCCUAGACUUUUUGAGGGUUUCCUUGGUAAAAUCCAAGCUUUGAAUUUUAUAUUUAGUGGAAUUUAGUUUUGAAGUUACAUUUUGUGGUUCCACGUUGGCCACUGGGGUUUGGGACACAUACUACAUGCAGAGUAGUUGACUUCAUUUUCAAAUAUGAAUUUACACCGUUUGAACCUGUGUCUUGGUGCCUGAAAAUUUGUUCCAAUGAUGUUUGUACUUGCUGGGCUUUCAAGCUAUAAAUACCCUUGGCCUUGUUCUGCUAGUUGCUAUUUGACCUUAACCUAAGGCUGAGUACAAUGUUGGCUAUUGGAAGGGAUUCUGUAUUUGAAUAUGCAACCUUAGGCAACAGAUUUUCAUUUUAUGUUAAAGUCAGUAGGUGCAGUGUCUUCAGGGCAGUGAAUCCUGUACAUUUAAAUUGAUUAGGUGACAAGUUGAUGUUGAGAUUGUCCUCCCUGAUAAAUGAAUAAAAGCUUUUUAAACAAAA
RNA transcript from Manis javanica (Malayan pangolin), 3795 nucleotides. It is a transcript of the gene named heterogeneous nuclear ribonucleoprotein D like, with no coding region annotated. NCBI's taxonomy places the organism in Eukaryota, Metazoa, Chordata, Mammalia, Pholidota, Manidae. The record is from RefSeq and is a predicted model, not a curated record.